RNAcentral lists this ribosomal RNA (470 nucleotides) under uncultured bacterium. Its description in RNAcentral is "bacterial SSU rRNA". It matches the Rfam family "Bacterial small subunit ribosomal RNA", at positions 8 to 526 of the family's 1533-position model. The record is from RNAcentral.
AGAGUUUGAUCAUGGCUCAGAACGAACGCUGGCGGCAGGCCUAACACAUGCAAGUCGAGCGCCUCGCAAGAGGAGCGGCAGACGGGUGAGUAACACGUGGGAACGUGCCCGAAGGUACGGAACAACUCCGGGAAACUGGAGCUAAUACCGUAUGUGACCGAGAGGUGAAAGAUUUAUCGCCUUCGGAUCGGCCCGCGUCUGAUUAGCUAGUUGGUGGGGUAAUGGCCUACCAAGGCGACGAUCAGUAGCUGGUCUGAGAGGAUGAUCAGCCACAUUGGGACUGAGACACGGCCCAAACUCCUACGGGAGGCAGCAGUGGGGAAUCUUGGACAAUGGGCGCAAGCCUGAUCCAGCCAUGCCGCGUGGAUGAUGAAGGCCCUAGGGUUGUAAAAUCCUUUCGUCAGGGACGAUAAUGACGGUACCUGAAGAAGAAGCCCCGGCUAACUUCGUGCCAGCCGCCGCGGUAAUAC